RNAcentral lists this microRNA (17 nucleotides) under Corchorus capsularis. RNAcentral describes it as "sRNA CCACVL1_16989". Lineage: Eukaryota; Viridiplantae; Streptophyta; Magnoliopsida; Malvales; Malvaceae. The record is from RNAcentral.
AGCAGGGAAGGAGAAGA